GUUACGGAGCCGAGCCAGGGCCCGCCGGGCGCCCGGGAGCCUGCGGUGCCGUCCCCCGCACCGGGCGCCGCCGCCGAGCUCGGGGCGGCGGCUCCCGACUCCGCCUGGAAGAAGAGGUCCCGCCGGCCGCGGGCUGAGUGUAAACCAUUAGCAGUGUAUUUGACGCAGUAUUAAACAGUGUUGUCUCCUGAAAGAAUCAAUGAAGCAGCUUUUAGGAUCUGCAGCUGGCACUCUAGCUGAUUUUUGGGGGCGGUUUUUUGUUUUUUAUCAUGAGACUUACUACAUUCUUAUCAAUAUAAACCUUUAACUGGAGGCUAUUACUGAAUUCUUCAUUUCUAAAGUAAGAGUAAUAGCAGCAUGCAAAUCAGGGAGUUUCCGCAAUGGAGAAGAGGGAAGGUGAUAAUUGUACCAUUGAUUCGAACACAGCUCAAAGCAUCAAGCCAAGAAGAAAUACAGGAAACCUUAGCAACUUGAAUGUGGAUAUGCAAGUCACUAGUACACCAGAAGCAGCUGCACUUUUUAGUCUACAUCAAGCACACCAUUUUGGUGAGUUUGAAUGCUCUUCAGAACAGCACUGCAAGCAGGAUCUGUUCCCCAAAUGGCACCUUCCAAUGAAGAUAGCAUCUGUGAUCUCAUUGUUAAUGUUUAUUUACACUUCUCUGAGAGAUGUCAUAUAUCCUUUUAUAACCAGAAAAGAAAAUGUUUUCUAUAAAAUUCCAGUCCUCGUCAUAAACAAAGUUUUACCAGUGGUUUCAAUUACCCUUUUAGCACUGGUAUAUUUACCAGGAAUAUUAGCUGCUGGUUUCCAGCUGUACUCUGGAACCAAGUACAAAAGGUUUCCCCAGUGGUUGGAUAGAUGGAUGUUAUCAAGAAAACAAUUUGGACUUCUCAGUUUCUUCUUCGCUACAAUGCACGCCUGCUAUAGCCUAUGCUAUCCAAUGAGAAGAUCAUACAGAUACAAGCUGCUGAACUGGGCAUUCCAGCAGGUCAAGCAAAAAAAAGAAAAUGCCUGGAUUGAACAUGAUGUUUGGAGAAUGGAGAUUUAUGUGUCUCUAGGAAUUCUGGGACUUGCUUUGCUGGCAUUAUUGGCAAUAGCAUCAAUUCCAUCUGUCAAUCACUCUUUGACCUGGAGAGAGUUCCACUACAUUCAGAGCAAGAUGGGAUAUUUAGCUCUGCUGUUAUGCACAGUUCAUGCAUUGGUGUUUGCUUGGAAUAAGUGGGUUGAUGUUAACCAAUUUAUCUGGUACACACCACCUUCUUUUAUGGUAGCAGUUUUUCUUCCUAUUGUCGUCCUGCUCUGUAAAUGCAUACUGCUCCUCCCAUGUUUUAGGAGGAGGAUACAAAAGAUCAGAUGUGGUUGGGAAGCUAACACACAAACCAAUCAAACCAGCAUAACUUCCAGAUUGUAGAUAAAAUAUGGACAUUUCUUGUCUGCUGCAUGUAAGUAUGCUCAGGUCUGUGAAAUGCUCACUUGCCAGCUCUGUUUUCAUAUUUUGCUUAGAUGUUUCUUUUAUACUUGUCAUUUCCACUUGAGGUAUAUGGGAUAUUUUAUGUUAUUUGGACCUUUGCUGAGACAGCCAGUGGAAGGAUUCAUUUUACACUUUAAUCUAUUCGACGUUCUUUUAUUUGCUUAUUUCUUUGUCCUGAUUCAGUGCUUUUAAAAUCCAAGUGCUUCCUCCUCUCAAUUUCAGUGCAUGAAUGCACUGAAUUAUGAUUGCAAAAGCAGUCAUAAAUCACUGUUUCAGAUGACCACAGAAAGUAAAUAAAUGAGUACACUCUAGAACUCAGGCAUGCUUUCUGCUUCCCACAGCCAUGUUUGUCCCCUGGUUACAUCUCAGUAUUAUAAUGGGACAGCAACUGGCUAUUUACCAUCCUGAUCCCCCAUACACCCUGCAUCCUACAUGUUUCACUCUGCAGAAGGGGGACCUUAGCACAUGGGCAAGGCAGAAGCCGUGUUGCACUUAAGACAAUCGGGGAAGUAGGAUUAUAGGCAACUUUAUAGAGUAAAUCUCUCCUGAGGUUUAGGCACAGUCUAAAAAAAUAGUUAUUAGACUCCAAUCUACAGCUUACAGUACUUACAUCUUAUAGGCCGUGUGUGUCUCUGAUUACUACACUUAAAACUAUAAAACAUUUCACCCCCCCCCUUUUUUUUCCAUGAAUACGUUCUUUUGUUUCUGAUGCUGGAAAUUUUCCAUGCUUUUGACCUAAGCAUGCAGCCCUUGACACGUGCUAAACUUUACUCACACAAAUUACUCCUGUGGGAUAGUAGUGGGAUUUUACUGCUUAUUCUAGGGCCAGAACAAUUGUAUGACUAGAAGAAAAACAUCAGAAAUAGACAUUUGAAUCUUGACAUUGAUUUGGUGAGAUUUUCAAGUAAAAUCGCUUCUGAAUACAUUCGCUUUUACUAAAAUUUUGGUAUAAGCUAAUGAAACUUCACUUUCUGUAUGUUGCCUAAGUCUAACUGAAUAUUUUAAAUGAAUAAUUAGUUAGCAUCUAUUUUUUAAAAUGUUACAUAGUAGCUAUGAUUUUCACCCAAAAUCAGAAACAUCCUGUUGCCAGUCUCCCUACAUGAGUUGACUAGGAUGAGGAUUAAUGAUGUCAACUAUUGCCGGGAGCAUUUGAAUUGUAAUUGGUAAUGAUUCUGAUACUAAAACAGAAACAGGAAAACUAUGGCUGCCUAAAAAAAAUAUGUGAUACAUGGAGCUAAUGAUUCUGCAACUCAUGAUCCUGUUGUGUAUUUGUGGACUUAAUGUAGUAAUAUAUUGCUGUAGAAAAUAUAGCAGGGUUGUGGUGGUCUGUGUAACAUAGACCAAAGAGAAAUGAGUUGGCAUUGUAUAUAAAGUCAGUAAUGCAUGACAAACACUGUCUAAAACACAGGAAACCAGUCUGCAAUGUGAUUCUAAGAAAUGUAAAAUAGAAAAGUGCAGUUGUCAAUAUGUUAACAUUUAAAUAUCUAUAAAUGAAAUAAAUAAAAUUAAUUAGAAGUAGUAUUAGGAGUAAAGAAUAAGAUCUACCAAAGGCUUAUUCAGAGUAUUACCUGCACUUUGUUCUCAGGAGUCAUGAAAAAAACUUACUAAAAUUAAUUUCCCCAGUGGAACAGACUUAGGGAAAUGCAAAGAUAAAGAAAUCUAAUUGUCUUCUAUAUUGUCCAUUAGCUAUUCAUAAGGUGUGCCCAAAUUUACUACUUAGGACAAAGCUGAGAUUGUAAGUACUCCAGGCAACCCCUGUAUGCAUCCAGUGAAAAGAUUAAUGUUUGGUUUUAUUGAAAUAUUUUUAAAUUGUGGUUUCCAGAAUCAGUCCUACUUCAUCUUAGAAAAUUCUGGAGAACUUAAUUCAAUCUCCAACUUUGUUAAAUUCUGGUCAAAAAGUUGGAUUCAUUGUUUACAGCUGGCCAUAGAAGCCAACCAUCUGACAAAGGGCAAAAUAAACAGCUUCAAGGGUAACCAGGCAUUGUGACACACAGAGCAGAACCUGACCCUUGAUCACUGAAAACUGAAAGGAGGUGAAUGAAGACACUCCUUGGAAGAAGCCAUUUAAAGCUAUUAGUGUGGCAUGUGUUAAACAAAACCAAGGCAAAUUAAUAUGUGUAUAUAUGUGGAGAGCAAAUAGUUCUUGGGAAUAAUAAUGGACUUCAAGGCUUUUCAUUAUCACCAUUGCAAGUAGGCUCUAUUAGGUGUGAUCUUUCUUCACAUCAGUUUACCCUGGAUCAGCUAGAUCCAUGAGCAUUGAGAAGAGGUGUAUGGUCAGUAUGAGUGUGAAAUUAAUAGGAGCUGGGAGUUAAGGAACUGUGCUUUUGGGGUGUGCAUCUUACUGCAAAGCAAUAGGAUAUAGACCACUGAGCCAUUUUUGAAAGUGGGACUUUGAUUCCUAAGUUGCUUUGGCCCUUCUGAAACAUUUGUCCAAGUUCUCAUAACUUUUUCUCACUGAAUCUAUGAGACAUUGUCUUAAUUUGGUGUCUAAUGGACAGAUUCUUAUUGCAGAUACCAUUGUUAGAAGACAGGCCAAAAACUCUGUGGGCCUAUAAAAAUAUUAUGCACAGUUCACUGGAAAAAGUGCUCCAGUCAUCUGUUCUAUGGCAUCUUUAUCCAAGCAGAAGUAAAGAACUGUUAUCCAUACUGUUAUACUUACGGUAUAUAAAAUCAGAACAAGGCACAUCACAAGCACAAAACUCCUUUCAAGAGGCCUGCAUAAGGAUAAAAAGGCACAAGAGAAUCAAGAAGAGCUGUUGGUACAAACAAUAAACUGGUUUUAUUCAAAAGGAACCAUUCUCCUCAUGCUGGCUGCAGUGGCCUGGAGUCUCCAAAGGGAAGAAGACAGAGAUGUGAGAAGCAAAAAGGACACUUUCAUAAUGGAAUGUACUGAAAGGAGCAGAAACCUUUUUACUGACAGACCACAUAUUCUAGCAGUCAGAGGAGAUUUUGUGAAGGAACAGAAGGCUGAGCUAGUUGUGGAAUGCUUUGGAGAUAGAUCUGUGAUGCCUGUAAACACUAUCCGAAGACCCAGAAUGGUGAGGGCAUUGAGGAGGAGAAUGGAGCACAGGCAUAUUUUUUCAUAGGAAUCCAUCAGUCUAGUGUGAGCGUUUUUGCAAUGCCUUAAAAAAAAGCCAUGAAGUGUUUCGUUCACUUGUUAGAUGCCCCUGUUGUAUUUAAGUAAGAGAUACAGAACUGGAACUCUGGAGAGAGACUCUUAAAUUGCUGAAGAGAUUUGAGGAAUUUUAUGCCAAGUUUACCUGGGGUAGCCAGAUCCCAGAAUACCGUUCUCAAGAAGUGGUACCAACAGUCAGUGCCAGGGCCAUGCUGGGUGUUACUUGAUGUAAAUUCCUAUUGACAGCAACAAUUAGUGUAAGCAGUCCCUUUCCUUGGCCACUCUUUUCUGUUCUCUCAGUUCUGCUAACACAAGUGUUUAAAGCUGUGAAGUUAAUCAGACCAGGGAAUUUGAUCCAGUUGAAAAGUAAUCCAGGGAAAAGAAUGAUUCAGCUGGAUCAAUACCUUGGUCUGAUUCACCUGACAGCCACACACAUAAGCCAGCACAGAGGUCAGGAAGAGCAGUGGCAUAAAAAGGCAAUUUAGCUUAAACCAGCUUAAACCAGACGGUUCAGGCAUAUCUAUCCAAAUGAGUCUCGUGACUGUCCAGCUGAAGUGAGGAGGUGUUAACCUGAAUUUUGACUGAUGACAACAGAUACUAUAUGUUCUUACAUUCGGUACUCCCAUUGAGAGGAAUGAUAUCUAUCAGCAAACUCAUGUUUUCUGUUGACAAGAUGAUAAGUGCAAGAAAUGAUGGAAAUAAUUUAUAUUCUGCCAAAACAACUAACUCCCUGAUUUCCAGAUAUGUGAGCUUGCAAGUAGUUGUGUCUGUGGAUUAGAUGGUCAAAUGCAAGGUUAAGGCCCACUCCAAAAUUGGGUGAAAAAAUCAUUUAUUGCCAUCUAUCUAAAUUUUUCUCCACUGUCCAACAUUCUUGUUUUCUUCAUUAAAAGCUUGAUCCCAUUCCCAGUAUAAUAUGGUCACUGAAAAUACUACUUAAAAUAAGAUGAAAUUCUUUGAUCCUGCAGCUACCCCAUAUCGCAACACUUCAGUAGUUUUCUUGGCAGGCAUUUAUAAGGUCUUCUAAAAUUCAAAAAACUUCAUCCUAUUUCAGUAGCAGGAAUGUUUUAUUGCUUGGUUUAUUUGUCAAGCUCUUAGUUUUCCAUGAAUCAGUAGACAAAAAAUGUGUUCUAGAAAUUAUCACCAAAACUUACAAAACUGACUGACCUCAACCUAACUGUGGAACUGCUUGGCUUCAUUUGUAGAGAAGAUGAUCUCAUGUCUUUCUUUUCCACUACAUCCACAGUUUUUAUUGUUGUCCCUUGAUAAAAUGAAAUGUUAUAUUAACCUUUUUUGAGCUUCAGAAUAUGUUUUAAGCUGAUUUUCUUAAGGUUAAAAGAACAAAACAAAAUAAAGAUGGAAUUCUGAAAACAUGCUGAAUCCACCCCUGGAAAGUGUAAUGUGCUCUAAUCACUUUCAAGAGUGUCUGUCAAUGGCUGAUCAUUGCCACUGAUCUUUUUCAGUAGUGCCAGAAUUUCUUGAUCCCAUCAGCCUGUUCUGUUGCUGAUGGCAAAAUUAUUUCUUCUGGUGAGACCUUGGAUCCUGUAACGAAAUGCCUUCGAGUGGGUGUGGUGGAGCUAAGUUAAUAAGUAUGCAUAAUAAGUUUUCAGAGAUUUUCAAAUGAAAACAUUUAAAACCAGUCAGUGAAUCAAACUUUGUAAACUUUUUUUAAAAAAGACCAUAGCUACUUCCAAUAAAGAGGAUCCAACAGAAAA
Molecule: RNA transcript, 6296 nt
Organism: Dromaius novaehollandiae (emu)
Lineage: Eukaryota; Metazoa; Chordata; Aves; Casuariiformes; Dromaiidae
Gene: STEAP1
Gene name: STEAP family member 1
Exons: 7
Source: RefSeq, a predicted model, not a curated record